This 450-nucleotide long non-coding RNA is filed under the name Junco hyemalis (dark-eyed junco). RNAcentral's name for it is "lncRNA (ENSJHYG00000010326.1)". The record is from RNAcentral. Lineage: Eukaryota; Metazoa; Chordata; Aves; Passeriformes; Passerellidae.
GCUGUGCAGUCCUGGUGCUGGAAAUGCAAGUGUGGAAUGCUCCAUGGACCACUGUGACUCAGCCUGUGGCAAGCAGAGGCCAGAAAUGCUGCUGUUAGUGGAAUAUCCAGAAGAAGGGGAAAGUUUGUGAAGGAAAAAAAAGAAUAUUGCAACUCACUGCUAGAGGCGUUAAUACGACGCUAACGAACCGUAGCCUUUCCAGAGCAUAGCUGGCAACAUUAGCACCCAUCUGUGCUGAGUGGGAUGUGCAAGCAGAAGCCAGGGCCGAGCAGCCUCCACCUGUUUGCAGAAAGCCCUGCAGUGACCUUACUGUUGGCUGAUUCCAGGGAGCCACCUCAUUAUUCUGACUUGAAACUUCUCCAUCUCCAAAAUCAGAGUUACUCCUGUGUGUCUUCACUGGAAGAAUGCACAUCACAGUCCUGCUCUGACAACGUAGGCCCAGGGAAAUGA